CAUAAAUAUAAAGAGAGGAUAGAGACAGCCUUGCACAUAAAGUUACAGAGGCAAAUUCUACCGACAUGGAAUGUAUAAUAAACACUGACUUUUUAAAAAAAUACUUUCGAAUAUUCUAAUAGGGAAGAUUAUCCUAUGGUUCUUUACAUUCUUCAGUUUUAAUGUUCUCACUGAAGGCGUUCAGUGAUAGAUAAUUGAAAAGUUUAGGUGUUGCUGUUUCUAGCUCGAAGACCUGUCUUGAACUAUUUCUACUGCAAUGUCAAGUUGUCAGGGCAUCAGCUCUUAACCCAGUUACCAACGCAGAACCUGUAGUCUGGUCUGAACAAAUUAUGUUCAGAUGCUUACAGAUCAGCGUUCGGCGUUCAUGACUAUCUGCAAUUAUUUGCAGGAUGCGGAGGAGAGAAGGGGAGUUAAAACAAGCUGAAGAAAGCUCACAUUGAAAUUGUUGCAAGACACAUCUAUACAAAAUGAAAAGGCACAAUAAAUGGCAAUAAUUAACGCUUGGGAAUACAAAAAUUAAAAGGUUUCUGACUGAAAAACCAGCUAGUAAAUGGGUUAAAAUAGUUGUAAGAAGCUAAGGACUUUCGUCCUCUGAACAGAAUGCGGUUCCCUUCUAAUAAAAGGGCGUUUUUUUUUUGCAGCGCAAUUUCCUCUCAAAUGAAAAUGAGUCCACACUUUACUCAACAUUGCUGUCUACCAUCUCAUCUAAGAACAGGUGUAUUCAGGUACCUCUGUAGGUACCCCAGUGCUGCAGUGGUGGACUCUUCAGGGAGUCUAAUGGGGCAAAACCUUCAUGCAUGACUCAGUUGGAAAAUCUGCCCACUAAGCCUGCGCCAGAUUAAAUGAACCUGGGAAACUGGCUGCUGAGAGAAAGAACAUCACAAAACACAACGUGGGCAAUGAAGUACUUUUGAAGAGUAGCCUCUUCUUCAUUGGAAGAAGUGCAUCAGCCAAUAUGAGCACAGCACAAUCCUACAAAUAUCAAAACAAUGAUGAUCAG
Long non-coding RNA from Pristis pectinata (smalltooth sawfish), 1000 nucleotides. RefSeq lists it as uncharacterized. NCBI's taxonomy places the organism in Eukaryota, Metazoa, Chordata, Chondrichthyes, Rhinopristiformes, Pristidae. The transcript is spliced from 3 exons. The record is from RefSeq and is a predicted model, not a curated record.